AACGGCCAUACCAUGGUGAAUAUACCGGUUCUCGUUAGCAUCAUUGGCAUUUGAAGCAUCAUUGGGCGCGGUCAGUACAUGGGUGGGUGACCACCUGGGAACACCGCGUGCCGUUG
Molecule: non-coding RNA, 116 nt
Organism: Caerostris darwini
Lineage: Eukaryota; Metazoa; Arthropoda; Arachnida; Araneae; Araneidae
Source: the annotation of a GenBank genome assembly